AGAGUUCGAUUCUGGCUCAGAUUGAACGCUGGCGGUAUGCUUAACACAUGCAAGUCGAACGGAAACGAAACUAGCUUGCUAGUAGGCGUCGAGUGGCGGACGGGUGAGUAACGCGUAGGAAUCUGCCUGAUAGUGGGGGAUAGCCCGAAGAAAUUCGGAUUAAUACCGCAUAAUCUAUUCGUAGUAAAGUGGGGGACUUUCGAGCCUCACGCUAUCAGAUGGGCCUGCGUAAGAUUAGCUUGUUGGUAGGGUAAAAGCCUACCAAGGCAACGAUCUUUAGCUGGUCUGAGAGGAUGAUCAGCCACAUCGGGACUGAGACACGGCCCGAACUCCUACGGGAGGCAGCAGUGGGGAAUAUUGGACAAUGGGGGCAACCCUGAUCCAGCAAUACCGCGUGUGUGAAGAAGGCCCGAGGGUUGUAAAGCACUUUCAAUUGUGAAGAAAAGUUAGCGGUUAAUAACCGUUGACCUUGACGUUAACUAUAGAAGAAGCACCGGCUAACUCCGUGCCAGCCGCCGCGGUAAUAC
Molecule: ribosomal RNA, 527 nt
Filed under: uncultured bacterium
Lineage: Bacteria
Description: bacterial SSU rRNA
Rfam family: Bacterial small subunit ribosomal RNA
Source: RNAcentral